Long non-coding RNA from Hyla sarda, 317 nucleotides. RefSeq lists it as uncharacterized. Lineage: Eukaryota; Metazoa; Chordata; Amphibia; Anura; Hylidae. The record is from RefSeq and is a predicted model, not a curated record. The transcript has 3 exons.
CCCGGCUGCACGCCAGUACAUGCGGGUACAUAAGAGAAAGACAGGGAGAAAGGAGGUAUCUGCGACGUGGAUUGCCAGCCAUGGAAUGUAUCAUCGUUCUUGUACAAUGCCUGAUUGGGGAGGGAUGGUGCCAUUCAUUUGAAGGUGUCCUUAUAUCAGGGAUUACACUUUCUUUGAUAUCUUGCUUCGGCAUUUACUACCUGGAGGAUUUGCAAUCUAAAAAGAUGCUAAAAACAAGCUGCUCAGCCAUUUGUCUGCUUUCAUGUUAUGUACUGAAAGCUUCAAAUUAUGUACAUACCUUUGCAACAAGCAAAAAC